CAGCAAACCAACAUGACACAUGUACACCUAUGUAUCAAACCUGCACAUUGUGCACAUGUACCCUAGAACUUAAAGUAUAAUAAAAAAAAAAAAAAAAAAAAGAAAGCCAGGCCAUGAGCAGAAGCUUGUUUGACUGGAAAAGGAUGGAAAAUAAGGCAUUAGAUAAGUUAUUGUUUAAUGGCACUGAGCUAAAAUAACCUUAUGAAUUUAUUUUACAGGGCUGGGGAUGUAGUCUUUGGAUUUCGAAAUAUUUAAAGUUCAGAUUGUCAAGCCUUCCUCUCUCCUGAAUAGUACUCAAAAGGGCAUGGUUUUACAAGAUUCAUAUGGUGUCUUUCAUUUCAGUGCCUAUUACUCAUUUCAAUGAUUCAGCCGAGCCAGACAGCAAAUGGACAUGAGGUGUGUGGAGGAAUCUACUGAAAACGGGAUUGAUUGGGUUUUAAGAAAGUAGGACUCAAGGCUGGAUGAGGCAGCAUUCUGAGAAUCUUAAGUUCCCAAGGCAUAAUGUUCAACAUUUACUGUCAAACCCAAUUUCUGGCUAAGCCAUUUAUGCUUUCUGAAUAAGCACUUUAAUUUUCAUUCACAUCUACUCACCUUUAAAAAAAUGGAAGUAUGCACCAAUUUUUAAAGAAAUAGGACCAACCUUGGAAACUUAUAAUUAUGAAUCUUUAUAUUUUUAUGAUAGUUGAUAGUUUACAAAGCUAGUUUCACUUGAUCUUUACAAAAAACCCUAUGGGGUGAUAUUUUUAUUACCCACAUUUUAUUGAUAAGGAAUUAAAUCUCACAAAGGUUUGAAGACUUUCCCAAAAGUGUCACAGGACAACUAAAACUAGUUAACCCCAAGGCCCUGUAUCAGAAUGAUCACCUGCCUUUCCCCCACCAACCCACACUCACCAGGCACAGUGUCCAAGAGGCUCUGCCUCUUUCUCAAUGCCAUCUUUGGGUUGCCUCAUCCUACCUGCAAUGCUUACCUUCAAAGCAGAUGCUGACAAUGUGUUUGGAUUUUGGAGGCUUGAUUAUGAGAUAAAACUGAAUAGUGCUGGACACAUGUUGAGUUUCAGUUUUCUGACCCUUCUCUUUUGAGACUCCAGGUCCAACCCUCAUCUGUACCUUCAGAUUCAUGGACACCACUGAUGAGGUUCUGGCUUGCUUCAUUUUCAUUCAUGACUUUGACUCCCAGACCACACUUUGAUCCUGGUUCUUCCAGCGUUGAUCUAGAAACAUCCUAACCUCUAAGGCACCAUCAAACCAAUUUUGUCCAAGAAGUGUAAAUAUCAUUGCCCACAAUAGAUCUAGCAACAAUUAACAUUUGCUGAGCACUUACCAUGUGCCAAGCAUGGUAAGUGAUGAAUGCUUUAUGUUCAUUAACUCAUUUAAUGCUCAUAGCAACCCUUUGAGAUAGGUACUCAUAAUUGUAUAGAUGAGAAAGCCGAGGUGAGUAACUUGCUGAAGAUCACACAAUAAGUGGGGAAGCCAGGAUUUGUGCCUACAUCAUUUUGACUCUAGAGCGUGGGCUCUUAAUCAUUAGGAAGUACUGGCCUCCAGAAGUCAUCUUACAUCCACCUCCUCACAAUGGAUAAUUGAGGAUGACAAGUGGUUAUAAGCACUUUCUUUGUUGAAAUUUAAGCUUAAAAAUUGAUUUGGAGUUAGACAUCAAUCCAUGACCUGGGGGAAAAUACCUACAAAGAGAGACAAUGGGAAGACUGAGAACCCAUUAAUGAAAAGCAAGCAGUCCACACUAUAUGGCUUGUAGUGUAACAUUUGGACAAACACGUAUUCUGUGGUGAGCUUAGGCAAGAUGCUGCCCACACUGGGAAGGCAGCCAAGAAUUACUGCCACCUCCACCCAAGAGGAUCACCCUACUAAAGGCCACAGAGAGGACCAGCCCCCGUCAGAGACUGCUUGUAAUUUCUCUCACUGUGGGAGCUUCCUAAUGAAUAAACAAACUAAUAAAAGUAUUUCUAUAAUUUUCUAUGUGAUUCAGAUUCAGUGAAGCAGUAAGUCUUUGGUGCUUAAUUAUGCAAGAUAUCAAAAACACUUAUUGUCCCAAAUACUUUGCAGAGCAAUAACAUUAAAAAAUAGUUCUAAGUCCUGUUUCACUGAUCCAGACCUCUCUGUUUUUUCAUGUAUGAUGCAAACUUUUAAAGAAAUGAACAAAAGCCAGUCACUGGAAGCUGCUUGAAUUAAUGCGGAUCAAGAAGAAAAUGGCAACAAUUCACAGUCCCCAAGCCUCAUUUCAACUAUUAGGAUUCUCCCCUUUUAGAUAUUUUACAGAACUGCUAACGAG
RNAcentral lists this long non-coding RNA (2284 nucleotides) under Homo sapiens (human). RNAcentral's name for it is "HSALNT0179941". The record is from RNAcentral. Lineage: Eukaryota; Metazoa; Chordata; Mammalia; Primates; Hominidae.